Molecule: ribosomal RNA, 254 nt
Filed under: uncultured bacterium
Lineage: Bacteria
Description: partial 16S ribosomal RNA
Rfam family: Bacterial small subunit ribosomal RNA
Source: RNAcentral
UACGUAGGGGCCAAGCGUUGUCCGGAUUUAUUGGGCGUAAAGAGCUCGUAGGCGGUUCGGCAAGUCAGCUGUGAAAUCUCCACGCUCAACGUGGAGGGGUCAGCUGAUACUGCUGUGACUCGAGUCCGGUAGGGGAGUGUGGAAUUCCCGGUGUAGCGGUGAAAUGCGCAGAUAUCAGGAGGAACACCGGUGGCGAAGGCGGGUCUCUGGGCCGAUACUGACGCUGAGGAGCGAAAGCGUGGGGAGCGAACGGG